CGGCGGGGUGGGCAGCCCGGCGCCCCGCUCCAUCCACGCGGUUAUUUGUUCGCUGUGUCCUCCCAGCCUUGCCGAUCCCCGUCGGCUGCUUUUCAGGCCUGGGGACUGUCGAGGCCGGGAGGGCGGGGGACGGACAGUGUUUCCUGGGACUCAUUGUUCAGUGAAGCACCUACGACGGCGUGGCUCCUGUGUUCCGUGGCUACUGACAGUGACGCAGAGAAGCAGGGGAAAUGCCGCGGGGAGCACGCGGUCUGACCUGCCGUGUCACCGCCGGGACACCGCCUCCUCCGUACCCCGAGCUUUCCCGCCUGAGAGAAAAGGUGGCCUUGGGCACCUGGGUGGCUCGGUCGCUUGGUUGGGUGUCUACCGUCGGCUCGGGCCAUGAUCCUGGAAUCCCGGGAGCGAGCCCCAUGUCGGGCUCCUGCUCAGCACGGAGUCUGCUUCACCCCUUCCCUCUGCCCCUCUCCUCGCUCCUCGUCUCUCUCACUCAUUCUCUCAAAUAAAUCAAAAA
Molecule: long non-coding RNA, 511 nt
Filed under: Canis lupus familiaris (dog)
Lineage: Eukaryota; Metazoa; Chordata; Mammalia; Carnivora; Canidae
Description: lncRNA (ENSCAFG00000039297.3)
Source: RNAcentral